GUAUGGUGCAAGCGUUAUCCGGAUUUACUGGGUGUAAAGGGAGCGUAGACGGAGUGGCAAGUCUGAUGUGAAAACCCGGGGCUCAACCCCGGGACUGCAUUGGAAACUGUCAAUCUAGGGUACCGGAGAGGUAAGCGGAAUUCCUAGUGUAGCGGUGAAAUGCGUAGAUAUUAGGAGGAACACCAGUGGCGAAGGCGGCUUACUGGACGGUAACUGACGUUGAGGCUCGAAAGCGUGGGGAGCAAACAGGAUUAGAUACCCUGGUAGUCCACGCCGUAAACGAUGACUACUAGGUGUCGGGCAGCAAAGCUGUUCGGUGCCGCAGCAAACGCAAUAAGUAGUCCACCUGGGGAGUACGUUCGCAAGAAUG
RNAcentral lists this ribosomal RNA (370 nucleotides) under uncultured bacterium. RNAcentral's name for it is "bacterial SSU rRNA". It matches the Rfam family "Bacterial small subunit ribosomal RNA", at positions 527 to 896 of the family's 1533-position model. The record is from RNAcentral.